CCUACGGGCGGCAGCAGUAGGGAAUAUUGCUCAAUGGGGGAAACCCUGAAGCAGCAACGCCGCGUGGAGGAUGAAGGUUUUAGGAUUGUAAACUCCUUUUGUUAAAGAAGAUUAUGACGGUAUCUAACGAAUAAGCCCCGGCUAACUCCGUGCCAGCAGCCGCGGUAAUACGGAGGGUGCAAGCGUUACCCGGAAUCACUGGGCGUAAAGAGUGCGUAGGCGGGGUAAUAAGUCAGAUGUGAAAUCCUGUAGCUUAACUACAGAACUGCAUUUGAAACUGUUACUCUGGAGUGUGGGAGAGGUAGGUGGAAUUCUUGGUGUAGGGGUAAAAUGCGUAGAGAUCAAGAGGAAUACUCGUUGCGAAGGCGACCUGCUGGAACAUUACUGACGCUGAUGCACGAAAGCGUGGGGAGCAAACAGGAUUAGAUACCCUUGUAGUC
This 440-nucleotide ribosomal RNA is filed under the name uncultured bacterium. Its description in RNAcentral is "partial 16S ribosomal RNA". It matches the Rfam family "Bacterial small subunit ribosomal RNA", at positions 338 to 795 of the family's 1533-position model. The record is from RNAcentral.